CUGGAUCCAGCUGAUGACCGUAGCCGCGUCACUCUCCAAGAUGACUGAACCAGCUGAGAGCACACGCUGAGCAUAUCGAAGAUCCACCCAGGCAGCCCUUAGCUCCACACCAGGAACCGUACAGUCAAAUAAUUGACAGCCUUCCGCUGCCACGAAUAUAAAGUUUGGGCUCCUAAUAACGAAAUCCGCUCCACCCUUAGUGCCUCCAUUCAGCACCGAUCCAUCAAAAUUGAUCUUAGGACACGUCUUUCUAAUUCUGGUUUUUAAAAGGUUCUCGUGUCAAGUAGUUCUCGACACUUUGACAUAUAACACCCGCACCAGGUGUUCGAGUAACAUUGGAUCGAACCAACCGAUCAAAUUAGGCUAAACCCAAACCAUAACCUGGGUCGGGUCCUCAGUGAAAUUUGAAGAGAUAGAACAAGACUGCAACUGAUUGGCUUGCAAUAUAUGCGUAUCAACCAAAGUGCUGCCCAAACCAAAACUGAAGGCAAGAGAAGUCGGCACGGAUUGUGCCCACCUGCGUCAUGCAACAAUGGAACAAAAAAAAGGCAUGAAGACUCCGAUAUCCAAAGCGUAUAAAGUUUUGUUAGUCGGAAUUCAAAAAGCCCUCAGAUAUGUACGAAGUACGAACUUUCCUGCCAAAUAUAAGGAAAGCCCCCCCUUUCCUUUCUCUUCUGACCCUUCCAACGUCAAGCCUAUUAACGACCCUAUGCGAAAAACUUGUAAAGCACCACUCGUUUCCUAGAGAUCAAAACCUGUUCAAACCCUGAAGGCAGGCGUCCGCAACAUUACCGUGUCUAUGGACCGUACGGAGGAAGAGGAGAACGAAAAGAGCGUGAUUGGGUGACCUUCUAUGUAGCAGAGCAUGUUGACGAUGUGCUGCGGACCAACUUGGCACUAAUACUCGGGGCACUCUAGAAUAUU
Molecule: long non-coding RNA, 924 nt
Filed under: Phoenix dactylifera (date palm)
Lineage: Eukaryota; Viridiplantae; Streptophyta; Magnoliopsida; Arecales; Arecaceae
Description: long non-coding RNA (PDAC_LNC016509)
Source: RNAcentral